GAUACCCUGGUAGUNCACGCCGUAAACGAUGUCGACUUGGAGGUUGUUCCCUUGAGGAGUGGCUUCCGGAGCUAACGCGUUAAGUCGACCGCCUGGGGAGUACGGCCGCAAGGUUAAAACUCAAAUGAAUUGACGGGGGCCCGCACAAGCGGUGGAGCAUGUGGUUUAAUUCGAUGCAACGCGAAGAACCUUACCUACUCUUGACAUCCAGGGAAUUUGGCAGAGAUGCUUUGGUGCCUUCGGGAACGCUGAGACAGGUGCUGCAUGGCUGUCGUCAGCUCGUGUUGUGAAAUGUUGGGUUAAGUCCCGCAACGAGCGCAACCCUUAUCCUUUGUUGCCAGCGAUUCGGUCGGGAACUCAAAGGAGACUGCCGGUGAUAAACCGGAGGAAGGUGGGGAUGACGUCAAGUCAUCAUGGCCCUUACGAGUAGGGCUACACACGUGCUACAAUGGCGCAUACAAAGAGAAGCGACCUCGCGAGAGCAAGCGGACCUCACAAAGUGCGUCGUAGUCCGGAUCGGAGUCUGCAACUCGACUCCGUGAAGUCGGAAUCGCUAGUAAUCGUGGAUCAGAAUGCCACGGUGAAUACGUUCCCGGGCCUUGUACACACCGCCCGUCACACCAUGGGAGUGGGUUGCAAAAGAAGUAGGUAGCUUAACCUUCGGGAGGGCGCUUACCACUUUGUGAUUCAUGACUGGGGUGAAGUC
This 706-nucleotide ribosomal RNA is filed under the name Pantoea sp. RNAcentral describes it as "bacterial SSU rRNA". It matches the Rfam family "Bacterial small subunit ribosomal RNA", at positions 781 to 1487 of the family's 1533-position model. The record is from RNAcentral. Lineage: Bacteria; Pseudomonadati; Pseudomonadota; Gammaproteobacteria; Enterobacterales; Erwiniaceae.